RNAcentral lists this ribosomal RNA (429 nucleotides) under Pseudomonadota bacterium. RNAcentral describes it as "Proteobacteria bacterium partial 16S ribosomal RNA". It matches the Rfam family "Bacterial small subunit ribosomal RNA", at positions 355 to 776 of the family's 1533-position model. Lineage: Bacteria; Pseudomonadati; Pseudomonadota. The record is from RNAcentral.
UGGGGAAUAUUGGACAAUGGGCGAAAGCCUGAUCCAGCCAUGCCGCGUGUGUGAAGAAGGUCUUCGGAUUGUAAAGCACUUUAAGUUGGGAGGAAGGGCAGUAAGCGAAUACCUUGCUGUUUUGACGUUACCGACAGAAUAAGCACCGGCUAACUCUGUGCCAGCAGCCGCGGUAAUACAGAGGGUGCAAGCGUUAAUCGGAAUUACUGGGCGUAAAGCGCGCGUAGGUGGUUCGUUAAGUUGAAUGUGAAAGCCCCGGGCUCAACCUGGGAACUGCAUCCAAAGCUGGCGAGCUAGAGUAGGGCAGAGGGUGGUGGAAUUUCCUGUGUAGCGGUGAAAUGCGUAGAUAUAGGAAGGAACACCAGUGGCGAAGGCGACCACCUGGGCUCAUACUGACACUGAGGUGCGAAAACGUGGGGAGCAAACAGG